CUUUUUUGGUCGAUGAAUCGUUUGAGUUUCUGCCCCAUCAGUUGUCGACGGUAGUGUAUUGGACUACGGUGACUAUAACGGGUGACGGAGAGUUAGGGCUCGACUCCGGAGAGGGAGCCUGAGAGACGGCUACCAUAUCCAAGGAUAGCAGCAGGCGCGUAAAUUACCCACUGUGGACUCCACGAGGUAGUGACGAGAAAUAUCGAUGCGAAGCGUGUAUGCGUUUUGCUAUCGGAAUGAGAGCAAUGUAAAACCCUCAUCGAGGAUCAACUGGAGGGCAAGUCUGGUGCCAGCAGCCGCGGUAAUUCCAGCUCCAGAAGCAUAUGCUAAAGUUGUUGCAGUUAAAAAGCUCGUAGUUGAAUUUCUGGCAUGGGCGACCGGUGCUUUCCCUGAAUGGGGAUUGAUUGUCUGUGUUGCCUUGGCC
This 424-nucleotide ribosomal RNA is filed under the name Aurantiochytrium limacinum. RNAcentral's name for it is "SSU rRNA". It matches the Rfam family "Eukaryotic small subunit ribosomal RNA", at positions 278 to 701 of the family's 1831-position model. Lineage: Eukaryota; Bigyra; Thraustochytrida; Thraustochytriidae. The record is from RNAcentral.